CUGGACACGAGCCGCCCGGAUGCGCCCUGCCGCCGCCUCCGCGGUGACCUUGUCUCUGCGUCAGUGUCGCGGAGAAACAGCGACAGACCCGCUGGAGAUGUGACAGCAGAGGAGGGCCUUUGAUAACAAUCAAACCCCUGCCUCUGGGAGAGUCCAGCUUUCGCCCGGCUGGACGCCGGGGCUUCCAGAGGAGCGGUUCUGUCCCGUAGAGCAGUCACCUGUUGUCAACCGGGAGCCCAUUCUUGCGCGCUCGGAACAGGCGAAGUUGUAAGGCGGAGUACGCGCUCAAAAAGGCGGGGCUUUUAGCCUAAAAACAAGCCUCUUUACGUUUAGAAAAGACGAAUUUCCCACAAUGACCUACCACCCACCUCGUGGCGCUCAGGAGUGCGGCUCGCUGGAGACCGCGGUGGAGGACGCUACUUGAAAAGUUGCUGAGGAAAGAGAACAAAAGCAUUUGUCAACGUAGGGCAGGUAGCGAAGGGAAGCUUUGUGAAAUAUUAGACGCCCCAGCAGAGCGGGAGAAAAUCUUGGACUCUUCAGUGCUAGAUUUUUGCCACCCUGAACUACUUGCAGCUUUAAUUGCAUGCUAGCAGAGAUAAGAAAGUAAAAACCCGACAUGGAGUUCAAAAGGAUGCUGCUCAGACCAGGAGAGAAUGGCAUGAUUUAUUCAAAGUACUGAAAGAAAAAAACUGCCAACCAAGAAUACUUUACACAGCAAGGUGUCCUGCAGAAAUGAAGGUGAGAUAAAGACUUCUCAAACCAACAAAAGCUGAGAGAGUUUGUCACCCCUAGAUCUGCCUUAGAAGAAAUGCUGAAAUGAGUUCUUCAGGCUGAAACUAAAGGACACUAAUGGUAACAUUAAGACAUAUGAAAAUGUACAACACACUCGUGAAGAUAAGAAUAUAGUCAGAUUCAGAAUACUCUAAUAAUGUAAUAUGGUCAUGUGUUAACCUUUUAAUUCUAGUGUAAAGGUUAAAGGACAAAAGUAUUUAAAAUAGCUAUGGAAACAACAAUUUGUUAAUAGAUAUACAACAUAAAAAGAUGUAAGUUGUAACAUCAAAAACAUCAGAUGUCAGGUGGGAUAGUAAAAGUGUAGUGAUGUUGUAUGCGAUUGAAGUUAGGUCGUUAUAAGCUUAAAACUGACUGUUAAG
Molecule: long non-coding RNA, 1151 nt
Filed under: Equus asinus (donkey)
Lineage: Eukaryota; Metazoa; Chordata; Mammalia; Perissodactyla; Equidae
Description: lncRNA (ENSEASG00005027694.1)
Source: RNAcentral